This 465-nucleotide ribosomal RNA is filed under the name uncultured bacterium. RNAcentral's name for it is "partial 16S ribosomal RNA". It matches the Rfam family "Bacterial small subunit ribosomal RNA", at positions 28 to 507 of the family's 1533-position model. The record is from RNAcentral.
GACGAACGCUGGCGGCGUGCUUAACACAUGCAAGUCGAACGGAAAGGCCCUGCUUGCAGGGUACUCGAGUGGCGAACGGGUGAGUAACACGUGGGUGAUCUGCCCUGCACUUCGGGAUAAGCCUGGGAAACUGGGUCUAAUACCGGAUAGGAGCCAUUUUUAGUGUGAUGGUUGGAAAGUUUUUUCGGUGUAGGAUGAGCUCCCGGCCUAUCAGCUUGUUGGUGGGGUAAUGGCCUACCAAGGCGGCGACGGGUAGCCGGCCUGAGAGGGUGGACGGCCACAUUGGGACUGAGAUUCGGCCCAGACUCCUACGGGAGGCAGCAGUGGGGAAUAUUGCACAAUGGGCGCAAGCCUGAUGCAGCGACGCCGCGUGGGGGAUGACGGCCUUCGGGUUGUAAACUCCUUUCGCUAGGGACGAAGCUUUUUGUGACGGUACCUAGAUAAGAAGCACCGGCUAACUACGUG